RNAcentral lists this ribosomal RNA (27 nucleotides) under Mucochytrium quahogii. RNAcentral's name for it is "labyrinthulid quahog parasite QPX partial 18S ribosomal RNA". The record is from RNAcentral. Lineage: Eukaryota; Bigyra; Thraustochytrida; Thraustochytriidae.
GUAGGUGAACCUGCAGAAGGAUCAUAA